UUUCCUAAUAUUUUUUAAGUGACACUUCAGACUGGGAAAGGGGGAGGUUUCGAUUUUGUUUUGUUCUGCAAGUUACUUAUUUCAAGAUUAAUCUUAGCAGUUAGAUCAGGAUAAGGGUGUGUUUUUCACAAGUUUGAAACUCUGGUAUAUGUAAGUUUCUCAAUGUGGUUUUCGCGUUGGAUUUAUUGAGAGUUACCUCAUUUUACCAUUUCAGGUCACUUUUGCAACUCAUUUGCCCAAAUAAAUUCGUUUUAGUCUGAUAGUGUCGUUUAUGGGAACAGCAGGCUUUGGCCCCACAAUUUGGUUCCAGAAAGACAAGGCCCACGAGGGAGAGGUUCCAGAGUGAGCGAAGCGGCUGCUCUGUGCUUCGGCAGCUGUUCUGCUAAAGCCUCUCGGGGUGUCAGAUUCCUAGGGAAACGGGUACGCGCUUUCAGUGUCAUGAACCUAAAGCCGGCAGCGACAGGUGCAAAACGAGAGCUUUCUCAUACACCAUGCCCAGGACUGGGGGAGGGGCUUAUUGGAGUCGCUCCCUUUCUAAAGCAUAUGCGAGUACAUCUCUCAGCUCUUUACGUGUUUAAAGUGAAAAUGUAUCACUCGUGUGAGAAUAAAGGGAAAACAAAGCCGGGGAAGUCCCCGGCAUCGAGUAGGUCAAGCACGUAAAACCUCGGCCGCCUGGGCGCGUAAGGAACGCAGACUUCGAGGCGUGAGCGAAGCUGGAAGCGGGUUCCCUGGAGCCGGUUUGUCCAGCCCUCCGGGAAGCAGACCCGCGAGCUGAGGGAAGCGUGCGCGUCACUAGGGGAGAUGCGGGUGUGGGAGAAAAUGAGCGGCCCGGCCGUCGGACCCCCGGGGAGGCCCACCCUCCGCUGGGCCGGGAGCGAGGGCCGCGGGCUGGGCUGGCGUGCAGCGGCGGGGGGUCCGCGAGGUCUCAGUCCCGCAGACGGGGGUCCGCCCAUCCCGCCCGGGCCUCCGCGCACAGCCCGCGCGGCCGCGUGCGGACCCUAGGGGGCGCCAGCGGGCGUGCGGAGACCCCCGCGGUCUUCUCUCGGACCUGCGGUCGGAGGCUCGAAGCCCGGCGCAGCCCCGUAACCCUCCGAAGGUGGCGCACCCUGACCGGGCCGUCCCCUGUCUGAACCGCUGCUGUCGUCCGGCCCGCUCUCCCAUCCCCUCCCUCGUUUCCCCGCAGGCUCUUCAGGCCCCACGCGCUCUCCCACGGAAGCCGCCCGCCCCUCGGGUCUGCUCCGCAGGGGUCCUUCUCCAACACGUGCCUGCGUGUGUCACACGCUGUCCACAGUGCCCACCGCCCACGGGAGUAAGCUGGCCCUCAGCAUUCCGAGCUUAGAUAAAGCGCGGAGGCUUGGUGACGGCAAAGAGCCGAGGUCGCAGGGGAAGAACAGAGACAGGCUCAAAAAGAAAGGACUAGGUCACGUGAGUUCUCCAGGCAAGACCAGCUAGCCCACCUGUACCUUGUCGGGCAGGUAACUGAGAGGGGUGAUUGCGUAAGGUAUCUGUGCAGGUACCAUUAAGUGGGCUCCCAGCUUUUCUCUUUGUAGAGGCUGGAAGACAAAACUCUCAAAUUCCUAGCUUCUGUGGCUAGAGCUGGCCUGCGAAGUGAAGGUUGAAAUUUCCGAGGAGGGCGUCCUUCCUGAAUAGAAGGUGAGGACACUCUGGAAGGCUUAUGGCUUUUAUUUUCCACCACCACCCCCCAAACACCUUUUUUUUGGUUUUGCUCAGAAUGGGGUUGUGAUGCCUUGGGACAAAGCAGCCAUUGUGUGACUUGUUGUGAGAUCAAAGGAACCCAUUAAGGACUGUGGGGUGAGAAAAUGUACUCAGUUCCUUGAAGGCAGUGGGUCAUCAUUUGACUCUCAAGUACUCCCAACCCCAUCAUUAGCCAUUCCUCUCAUCCUGCAAUCUACUGUCCAAGAACCAAAUAUCUUUUUUCUUUUUUUAGAUUUUAUUUAUUUAUUUGACAGAGAGAGAGCACAAGCAGGGGGAACGGCAGGCAGAGGGAGAAGGAGGCUCCCCCUGAGCAGGGAGCCCGUAUGUGGGGCUUGAUCCCAGGACCCUGGGAUCAUGACCCGAGUCAAAGGCAGACGCUUAACCCUAACCCACUGAGCCAUCCAGGCGUCCCAGGAACCAAAUAUCUUAUGCAUAUCUUAUUUCUCCUAGAAUUCCUCAGUCCUCCAUUCUGAAAAUUACUGCUGAUAUCUCUUGAAACAACUGCAUGCUUCAACUUCAAGAGACGGUCAGCAGCAUUGUGGGGUGAAAUCUCACAUAACAAAGGGGUCAGGAGGCCUGCGCUUAGUUCUGGCUCCGUCAUUAACUGGGUCUGUGACCUUGAGCGAGUCAAAUAAGUGUUCUCAUCUAUAAAAUGGGAGUACUGGACAUGAUUUGAUUUUCCAGCUGUUUUGUUCAAUGACUCUCUGAGGCCAACCAUGAAAUCUUAACAGUGACAAGGAAAAGCCAUAGACAACUGAUAGUGCAAACCCCGACAAAAGUUUACAGCAGAGAAACCAAGCAGCAGCCCCCACUAGUAAGGACCCUUACAAUGCCACAGCAGUUUGGAUAGGGAUGGUGGGGACAAUGGUGGUGGUAGUGAGGGGAAGGACUCCAGCCCCUGCUAUAUCAGUAUCAGAGGCUGUCUUUUCUACGUAUUGGAGAACCCAAAUGAUGGAUUAAAGACCAGUAUCUGUUACCACUUCAGUGGGUUAUGCUAAAUGUUUUUGCUAUACUAAGCUAGGUAUCUAGAGUCAGCAUUCUUGGAGAAUUCAGAUGAUGGGACUAUUUGUACAGAAAUGCUGUCAUUAAGUUCUUAAAGAGUACAUUGAACCAUUCGUUCUAGAUGUCACUGCCCAGGACCAUGUGCUAAGCCAUUAAACACAUGUGUCUAGCUUGAACUGCAGGUUCCAUUAUGGGUCGACCUGAUGGGAAGGCCAUCGUCCUGACAGCUGCUGCUCAGGGGACUGGCCGAGCAGCUGCCUUCGCUUUUUCAAGAGAAGGUGCCAAAGUCAUUGCCACAGAUAUCAAUGAGUCCAAACUUCAGGAACUGGAAGAGUACCCGGUAUUCAAAUUCGGACCCUUGAUGUCAUAGAGAAGAAACAAAUUGACCAGUUUGCCAGUGAAAUUGAGACACUUGAUGUUCUC
Ailuropoda melanoleuca (giant panda) is the source of this 3141-nucleotide long non-coding RNA. RefSeq lists it as uncharacterized. The transcript is spliced from 3 exons. The record is from RefSeq and is a predicted model, not a curated record. NCBI's taxonomy places the organism in Eukaryota, Metazoa, Chordata, Mammalia, Carnivora, Ursidae.